Molecule: ribosomal RNA, 1080 nt
Filed under: Acinetobacter baumannii
Lineage: Bacteria; Pseudomonadati; Pseudomonadota; Gammaproteobacteria; Moraxellales; Moraxellaceae
Description: bacterial SSU rRNA
Rfam family: Bacterial small subunit ribosomal RNA
Source: RNAcentral
GGGGGUGGCGGCGGCUUACCAUGCAAGUCGAGCGGGGGAAGGUAGCUUGCUACUGGACCUAGCGGCGGACGGGUGAGUAAUGCUUAGGAAUCUGCCUAUUAGUGGGGGACAACAUCUCGAAAGGGAUGCUAAUACCGCAUACGUCCUACGGGAGAAAGCAGGGGAUCUUCGGACCUUGCGCUAAUAGAUGAGCCUAAGUCGGAUUAGCUAGUUGGUGGGGUAAAGGCCUACCAAGGCGACGAUCUGUAGCGGGUCUGAGAGGAUGAUCCGCCACACUGGGACUGAGACACGGCCCAGACUCCUACGGGAGGCAGCAGUGGGGAAUAUUGGACAAUGGGGGGAACCCUGAUCCAGCCAUGCCGCGUGUGUGAAGAAGGCCUUAUGGUUGUAAAGCACUUUAAGCGAGGAGGAGGCUACUUUAGUUAAUACCUAGAGAUAGUGGACGUUACUCGCAGAAUAAGCACCGGCUAACUCUGUGCCAGCAGCCGCGGUAAUACAGAGGGUGCGAGCGUUAAUCGGAUUUACUGGGCGUAAAGCGUGCGUAGGCGGCUUAUUAAGUCGGAUGUGAAAUCCCCGAGCUUAACUUGGGAAUUGCAUUCGAUACUGGUGAGCUAGAGUAUGGGAGAGGAUGGUAGAAUUCCAGGUGUAGCGGUGAAAUGCGUAGAGAUCUGGAGGAAUACCGAUGGCGAAGGCAGCCAUCUGGCCUAAUACUGACGCUGAGGUACGAAAGCAUGGGGAGCAAACAGGAUUAGAUACCCUGGUAGUCCAUGCCGUAAACGAUGUCUACUAGCCGUUGGGGCCUUUGAGGCUUUAGUGGCGCAGCUAACGCGAUAAGUAGACCGCCUGGGGAGUACGGUCGCAAGACUAAAACUCAAAUGAAUUGACGGGGGCCCGCACAAGCGGUGGAGCAUGUGGUUUAAUUCGAUGCAACGCGAAGAACCUUACCUGGCCUUGACUACUAGAAACUUUCCAAAGAUGGAUUGGUGCUUCGGGAUCUAGAACAGGUGCUGCUGGCUGCCUCAGCUCGGGCCGGGAAUGUGGGUAAGUCCCGAACGAGCGAACCUUUUCUUAUUGCCCAUU